Molecule: transfer RNA, 66 nt
Filed under: Austinogebia edulis
Lineage: Eukaryota; Metazoa; Arthropoda; Malacostraca; Decapoda; Upogebiidae
Description: tRNA-Tyr
Rfam family: tRNA
About the family: Transfer RNA (tRNA) molecules are approximately 80 nucleotides in length.
Source: RNAcentral
AAUGAGGUGGCUGAGAAAAUUAGGCGUUAGAUUGUAAAUCUAAAGACGAGAAAAUCUCCUUCAUUA